GCAAUGACGCAGCUAGUGAGGUUCUAACCGAGGCGCGUCAAUUGCUGGUUGAAAACUAUUUCCAAACCCCCUCUUGGGCCUGGGCUUGGCCCAGUGCCCUCGAGAAUUUCUGGAAGGGCUCCCUCCGGGGCUUGGAAAGGCAGCAAACAAGGGGAUUGCAGAGGCAGGUAUGGCGACAACAGCCACCCAUUUCACAGGGAGCAGAAGCAGCCGUGGAGGCAGGUAAGGCGACAAGCACUCGAAAGAUGAUGCUAUGUGGACACCAACUAUAAUAAUUGUUGCUUAUUUUAAGAAAUAAGGUAUUCGAUUAUUAAGAAACAGAACAGGAUAUAAUAAUCUCCUAUUCCCAAUGCCAAAGCAUUUAUUUUUAAUCACCUUUUAAAAUUCCAAAAUUUGAGCUGAAACAGAUUCAAACUUCUAUCCUUUUAAAUUGAUUUUAUUUAAUUUGAAAUCUAGAAACCAUAUUUAAAUCA
Long non-coding RNA from Populus nigra (black poplar), 473 nucleotides. RefSeq lists it as uncharacterized. Lineage: Eukaryota; Viridiplantae; Streptophyta; Magnoliopsida; Malpighiales; Salicaceae. The transcript is spliced from 2 exons. The record is from RefSeq and is a predicted model, not a curated record.